Molecule: unclassified non-coding RNA, 240 nt
Filed under: soil metagenome
Description: partial contains 5.8S ribosomal RNA, internal transcribed spacer 2, and large subunit ribosomal RNA
Source: RNAcentral
AACCAUAGAAACCUGCGGAGUACCUGCGGAGGGAUCAUUAUGAAUUUGGUGGGAGGGAAGAGGGAGUGGCUCUCUUGAGAGUUGUCUCUCUUCCUCCUUCAUUUUCUGUGAACUGGUUUCUUUGGCCCUUUUGUGGGGGCCAUUGAAGCGAUUUGUUUGAUGUCUUUUUUAUAUUUUCUUGUUGUUUUUUCGAUUGGCGCAAGCUGAUUGAGAAAAAAACUAAAAAAAAACCAAGACAAC